GAUGAACGCUAGCGGCAGGCUUAAUACAUGCAAGUCGAGGGGCAACAGGGGUAGCAAUACCUGCUGGCGACCGGCAAACGGGUGCGGAACACGUACAGAACCUUCCUUUAAGCGGGGGAGUAGCCCACUAGAAAUAGUGGAUUAAUACCCACUAGUAAUAUUAGUUGGCAUCAAUUAGUAUAUUUAAAGUAAUUUAUUCACUUAAAGUAAUGG
This 213-nucleotide ribosomal RNA is filed under the name uncultured bacterium. RNAcentral's name for it is "partial 16S ribosomal RNA". It matches the Rfam family "Bacterial small subunit ribosomal RNA", at positions 28 to 228 of the family's 1533-position model. The record is from RNAcentral.